Molecule: unclassified non-coding RNA, 446 nt
Filed under: Hevea brasiliensis (rubber tree)
Lineage: Eukaryota; Viridiplantae; Streptophyta; Magnoliopsida; Malpighiales; Euphorbiaceae
Source: RNAcentral
UUGAAAGAGUUCAAGCCAAGUGCCAUGCAAUCUCAAAGGCGUCCUAACAAUGGGCCCGCGACAAUUGGUAUCAGAGCAACCACUGAUUCAUGGAUGGUGGAAAGCAUGAAGGAAUUUAUUGUACAUAUAUUAACACCCUAGAGAAAAGGGGUCAAAGUGAUUUUGCUUAAAGUAAUGUAUGUCCCUCUGAUCAUCACACCAAGCGCUCUAAAAUGAGUAGGCAGGGUGAUUCAGUUACACAUUGGUUGAGAAAGUGGGGGUGCUGCACACCCCUUUAGUUGCAUCUUUUGAAAAGAUAGUAAUGACCCUAUAGGAGGAGGUAUUGCAUACUCUAUCAGCUGCAUCUUUUGGAGAGAGAGUAAUGAUCUCAUGACAAUUUUGAGGGGCUGGCAAUAGAACUUAAGUCAAUCUGCUUCACCCUUUGUAAGAACACCCUUGAGACUGUG